UACGAGGGGUGCAAGCGUUAUUCGGAUUGAUUGGGUGUAAAGGGUGUGCAGACGGCUUAUUAAGUCACUUGUUAAAUUCUUCGGCCUAACUGAAGGUAUGCAGGUGAUACUGAUGAGCUAGAGGGUGGAAGAGAGAAGUGGAAUUCUCGGAGUAGCGGUAAAAUGCGUAGAGAUCAUGAGGAAGACCAGUGGCGAAGGCGGGUCUCUGGACAGUUCCUGACACUGAGGCACGAAGGCCAGGGGAGCAAACGGG
This 253-nucleotide ribosomal RNA is filed under the name uncultured bacterium. Its description in RNAcentral is "partial 16S ribosomal RNA". It matches the Rfam family "Bacterial small subunit ribosomal RNA", at positions 524 to 776 of the family's 1533-position model. The record is from RNAcentral.